RNAcentral lists this ribosomal RNA (500 nucleotides) under uncultured bacterium. Its description in RNAcentral is "partial 16S ribosomal RNA". It matches the Rfam family "Bacterial small subunit ribosomal RNA", at positions 30 to 523 of the family's 1533-position model. The record is from RNAcentral.
AUUGAACGCUGGCGGAAUGCUUUACACAUGCAAGUCGAACGGCAGCACGGACUUCGGUCUGGUGGCGAGUGGCGAACGGGUGAGUAAUGUAUCGGAACGUGCCCAGUCGUGGGGGAUAACGUAGUGAAAAUUACGCUAAUACCGCAUACGAUCUAUGGACGAAAGCGGGGGAUCGCAAGACCUCGCGCGAUUGGAGCGGCCGAUAUCAGAUUAGGUAGUUGGUGGGGUAAAGGCCCACCAAGCCAACGAUCUGUAGCUGGUCUGAGGGGACGACCAGCCACACUGGAACUGAGACACGGUCCAGACUCCUACGGGAGGCAGCAGUGGGGAAUUUUGGACAAUGGGCGAAAGCCUGAUCCAGCCAUUCCGCGUGUAGGAUGAAGGCCCUCGGGUUGUAAACUGCUUUUGUACAGAACGAAAAGGUUUCUACUAAUACUAGGAGCUCAUGACGGUACUGUAAGAAUAAGCACCGGCUAACUACGUGCCAGCCGCCGCCGUAA